Molecule: ribosomal RNA, 370 nt
Filed under: uncultured Prevotella sp.
Lineage: Bacteria; Pseudomonadati; Bacteroidota; Bacteroidia; Bacteroidales; Prevotellaceae
Description: bacterial SSU rRNA
Rfam family: Bacterial small subunit ribosomal RNA
Source: RNAcentral
AACUGCUUUUAUGCGGGGAUAAAGUGAGGGACGCGUCCCUUUUUGCAGGUACCGCAUGAAUAAGGACCGGCUAAUUCCGUGCCAGCAGCCGCAGUAAUACGGAAGGUCCGGGCGUUAUCCGGAUUUAUUGGGUUUAAAGGGAGCGUAGGCCGGGGAUUAAGUGUGUUGUGAAAUGUAGGCGCCCAACGUCUGACUUGCAGCGCAUACUGGUUCCCUUGAGUACGCGCAACGCCGGCGGAAUUCGUCGUGUAGCGGUGAAAUGCUUAGAUAUGACGAAGAACCCCGAUUGCGAAGGCAGCCGGCGGGAGCGCAACUGACGCUGAAGCUCGAAGGUGCGGGUAUCGAACAGGAUUAGAUACCCUGGUAGUCC